AUGAUCCUUUACUACUGGGGCCACUGUAGCAGCAGGAGCACUGGCUUCUUUCUUUGAUUCUUCCAGUUUCUCUAGGUUCUUCUUGUGCUUCUUUCCCAAUUUGUGUUGGUCCAAGACAUCCUUGCUGCUACAGUCAA
This is a long non-coding RNA of Telopea speciosissima, 137 nucleotides long. RefSeq lists it as uncharacterized. The transcript is spliced from 2 exons. The record is from RefSeq and is a predicted model, not a curated record. Lineage: Eukaryota; Viridiplantae; Streptophyta; Magnoliopsida; Proteales; Proteaceae.